GGUGGUUGCUAGUGUGUUGCUGUGCAGUUGCUAGGUUGUUCUAGGUGGUUGCUAGCGUGUUGCUAAGCAGUUUCUAAGGUGAUCUGAGUG
Molecule: long non-coding RNA, 90 nt
Organism: Sinocyclocheilus rhinocerous
Lineage: Eukaryota; Metazoa; Chordata; Actinopteri; Cypriniformes; Cyprinidae
Exons: 3
Source: RefSeq, a predicted model, not a curated record